RNAcentral lists this ribosomal RNA (404 nucleotides) under uncultured bacterium. Its description in RNAcentral is "bacterial SSU rRNA". It matches the Rfam family "Bacterial small subunit ribosomal RNA", at positions 917 to 1322 of the family's 1533-position model. The record is from RNAcentral.
GGGCCCGCACAAGCGGUGGAGUAUGUGGUUUAAUUCGAUGCAACGCGAAGAACCUUACCAGGGUUUGACAUCCUGCGAAUCUCUUGGAAACGAGAGAGUGCCUUCGGGAACGCAGUGACAGGUGGUGCAUGGCUGUCGUCAGCUCGUGUCGUGAGAUGUUGGGUUAAGUCCCGCAACGAGCGCAACCCACGUCGUUAGUUGCCAGCAUUUAGUUGGGCACUCUAGCGAGACCGCCGGUGAUAAACCGGAGGAAGGUGUGGAUGACGUCAAGUCAUCAUGCCCCUUACAUCCUGGGCUACACACGUACUACAAUGCUACGGACAAAGGGCAGCAAACUCGCGAGAGCUAGCAAAUCCGACAAACCUAGUCGUAGUCCGGAUCGGAGUCUGCAACUCGACUCCGUG